CCUCCUCGUGGCUCGUGGCGCCUCGACGACGACCGGGGCCGACGCUCGUCCAGGAGGUCGACCCUACACGUCGACAUCGUCGUCGACGCCGUCGAGCGCGCGAGAAAUCGUCUCUCUCUCUCUCUUUCUCUCUUGGUCGUCGUGCGCGUCACCACCAUGCCAAUGGCGCGAUAUAUCGGGACGCCCUCGCGAGUGCUUUUCCCGCCUCCGUAGCUCGGAUUCUCUCAAAAGCUGUCAAGAGUGAGCGAGGUAGCAAGCCAGCCAGCUAACUCCUCAAGAUGUCGAGCGGGCUCGAUACUUGUUUCUCUCUCUUUCUCUCGUCUCCCCCUUCCGCUAGGCUUAUUUUUCUCGGUGAUCAUGCACACGCUCGUUAUUACCCAGCGAAACGAAUCGCGAGUGUUGGCGAGGAGUUGGCGGGAGCAGGGCAGAGGGCCGAGAGAUAGACGGAAAUCGAGAUACCGAGAUAGAGAGAAACCGAGAUAGUGUGAGUGAGUGAGUGAACGAGCGAGCGAGCGAGCGAGAGAGAGAGAGAGAGAGAGAGAGAGAGAGAGAGAGAGAGAGAGAGAGAGAGAGAUUUCAUUCUUUCACGAGAUAGACUCGCAUACCAGGCACAAGGUUACCGUGUCGAAUUAUAUAACGUCAGAAAGCGACUGAACGCACGCGAAUUAAUCCUGCGGUGUACGUCGAAAUAAAUUAAUUUUUUUUUCCUUUUUCUUUUCUUUUUCUUUUCUUUGAAAAAGAAAUUUUGCAGAAUAGUUUUUAGUAAUAAUUGUGUAUCCGCGAGAUUCUCCGUGCGAGACAAGUGGAAUCGAGUAUAUUCUGACAUACUGUAUUGUUAAAUUAUUUACAUAUUACAUGUAUUAUACUGACUCUUAUUCUCUUACACAUUAUAUGUACGUAUUAUACCGAUGAUGUUACAUUCCGAUGUCGUUACCUUUCAUACUACGUUCACGUUCUACGUAUUGCCGAUACCAAUUGGCAUAUACUCGAUUUCAUGCCUGACUACAGCAAAUUCUCUUAUCAUGUCAAGUGAAUUUAUCAUGUUUUUAUAUAGGUACUACUCGAGUUCCAAAAUGAGACCUCGGUGUGUUAAAUUGACUGAGCAAACGUUAUAAAUACUUGGUCCAUAUAAACUACGAAUUCUAAAUCAGAUUUGAAUCUAAAAUUUUAAUCUCGACUGUCAUAAGGUUCACUCUUUUUGAACCUUUCUAAAUUGAAUUGUAAAGUGACAUACAUUAAUAAUGUUCGGUAAGCUGAUAUUCGUCAGUCAAAGUUUCUGUGUAUAAUUUUAGAAUUUAUUUUCACGCUCAUAUGGCAAUACGAUUCAACCGCUUCGUUUUGCAAAGAAACUACCUUUGAACACCAGCACAGUUGGCACAGCUAAGAAGAAAUUAAAGAAUUCAUUUUUUCGUGCAAAUAUCGUUGCGACACAUCGUUGAAUCUUCGCGUACUUGCAUCGACAUUGUGCUCACGAUUGAGCCUUUACCCUUUGAAUUACGUUGUUGAACGUUUCUUGUGUUCCUUCAAGAAAUUGAUUUACUUUCGACGUACACAGCGAGAUACGAUCCGUGUUUUUCGCUCGUCGCGGCAUCAUCGUGACCAAUCUCGAUCGUAAAACGCAAAGACGACGUUCGACGAUGUCUCUCUCGGCGUCCGCUUUACUUCAACGUGCGCGCGACAAUGAGAGAGCAUUCGUUCACCUUGACGAAUCUUGAUUUUGAUCUUGAAAUUGUAACGGCGAGAUUUUUCGUUGUUUCACCGCUUCCUACUUUUUCUUUCUCUCUUUUUUUGUUUUUUUUUUCUUCGUUUUAACGCAUCGCGGGAAGAGACACACUCAUACUUUCUUCUCUUCGUUCGACUUUCUCUUCAAUUUCUUUUUUUUUUUUUUUAGAUCUUUUUUAGAUCUCAAAGUGGUCCCUGACCCUUGCCACCGCCAUUUUCCCUCUCACUGAUUCGUUCUUCUUUUCUUUUAUUUCACUGGAAGGAGACGCGAAAGACAAAAGGGGAAGUACGUUCAAAUCUCUCGUCUCGAGACUCACGUGAAUGAUUGAUUGAUUGAUUGAUUGAUUGAUUGAUUGAUUGAUUGAUUGAUCGACCGACCGACCGACCGACCGACCGACCGACCGAACGAUCGCCGUUUUACGCUUCGUGAAUCGUAAACAUACCUAUCGGGAGCGUGUUUCGGGUGAGGAAGAAGCAGCAGCAGCAGCUCCCCCGCCGCGAAGAAGGGCGUUCUCUUUUUUCUCUGUCUUGUACUGCCUCGAGUCAUCUGUGGUGUACAGCAGGCUGUAUUAUAAUAAAUUAUUGUGGUUUCUUGUAAUA
This is a long non-coding RNA of Dinoponera quadriceps, 2322 nucleotides long. RefSeq lists it as uncharacterized. The record is from RefSeq and is a predicted model, not a curated record. Lineage: Eukaryota; Metazoa; Arthropoda; Insecta; Hymenoptera; Formicidae. The transcript has 2 exons.